UACGAGGGGGGCAAGCGUUGUUCGGAUUUACUGGGCGUAAAGGGCGCGUAGGCGGCUUAACAAGUCACUUGUGAAAUCUCCGGGCUUAACUCGGAACGGCCAAGUGAAACUGUUAUGCUAGAGUGCAGAAGGGGCAAUCGGAAUUCUUGGUGUAGCGGUGAAAUGCGUAGAUAUCAAGAGGAACACCUGAGGUGAAGACGGGUUGCUGGGCUGACACUGACGCUGAUGCGCGAAAGCCAGGGGAGCAAACGGG
Molecule: ribosomal RNA, 253 nt
Filed under: uncultured bacterium
Lineage: Bacteria
Description: partial 16S ribosomal RNA
Rfam family: Bacterial small subunit ribosomal RNA
Source: RNAcentral